RNAcentral lists this ribosomal RNA (318 nucleotides) under uncultured Methylibium sp. RNAcentral's name for it is "bacterial SSU rRNA". It matches the Rfam family "Bacterial small subunit ribosomal RNA", at positions 86 to 405 of the family's 1533-position model. Lineage: Bacteria; Pseudomonadati; Pseudomonadota; Betaproteobacteria; Burkholderiales; Sphaerotilaceae. The record is from RNAcentral.
UGGUGGCGAGUGGCGAACGGGUGAGUAAUAUAUCGGAACGUGCCCAGUCGUGGGGGAUAGCCCGGCGAAAGCCGGAUUAAUACCGCAUACGACCUACGGGUGAAAGCGGGGGACCUGCAAGGGCCUCGCGCGAUUGGAGCGGCCGAUAUCAGAUUAGCUUGUUGGCGGGGUAAAAGCCCACCAAGGCGACGAUCUGUAGCUGGUCUGAGAGGACGACCAGCCACACUGGGACUGAGACACGGCCCAGACUCCUACGGGAGGCAGCAGUGGGGAAUUUUGGACAAUGGGCGCAAGCCUGAUCCAGCCAUGCCGCGUGUG